RNAcentral lists this ribosomal RNA (1372 nucleotides) under uncultured bacterium. Its description in RNAcentral is "bacterial SSU rRNA". It matches the Rfam family "Bacterial small subunit ribosomal RNA", at positions 28 to 1381 of the family's 1533-position model. The record is from RNAcentral.
GAUGAACGCUGGCGGCGUGCCUAAUACAUGCAAGUCGAGCGAACGGACGAGAAGCUUGCUUCUCUGAUGUUAGCGGCGGACGGGUGAGUAACACGUGGAUAACCUACCUAUAAGACUGGGAUAGCUUCGGGAAACCGGAGCUAAUACCGGAUAAUAUUUUGAACCGCAUGGUUCAAAAGUGAAAGACGGUCUUGCUGUCACUUAUAGAUGGAUCCGCGCUGCAUUAGCUAGUUGGUAAGGUAACGGCUUACCAAGGCAACGAUGCAUAGCCGACCUGAGAGGGUGAUCGGCCACACUGGAACUGAGACACGGUCCAGACUCCUACGGGAGGCAGCAGUAGGGAAUCUUCCGCAAUGGGCGAAAGCCUGACGGAGCAACGCCGCGUGAGUGAUGAAGGUCUUCGGAUCGUAAAACUCUGUUAUUAGGGAAGAACAUAUGUGUAAGUAACUGUGCACAUCUUGACGGUACCUAAUCAGAAAGCCACGGCUAACUACGUGCCAGCAGCCGCGGUAAUACGUAGGUGGCAAGCGUUAUCCGGAAUUAUUGGGCGUAAAGCGCGCGUAGGCGGUUUUUUAAGUCUGAUGUGAAAGCCCACGGCUCAACCGUGGAGGGUCAUUGGAAACUGGAAAACUUGAGUGCAGAAGAGGAAAGUGGAAUUCCAUGUGUAGCGGUGAAAUGCGCAGAGAUAUGGAGGAACACCAGUGGCGAAGGCGACUUUCUGGUCUGUAACUGACGCUGAUGUGCGAAAGCGUGGGGAUCAAACAGGAUUAGAUACCCUGGUAGUCCACGCCGUAAACGAUGAGUGCUAAGUGUUAGGGGGUUUCCGCCCCUUAGUGCUGCAGCUAACGCAUUAAGCACUCCGCCUGGGGAGUACGACCGCAAGGUUGAAACUCAAAGGAAUUGACGGGGACCCGCACAAGCGGUGGAGCAUGUGGUUUAAUUCGAAGCAACGCGAAGAACCUUACCAAAUCUUGACAUCCUUUGACAACUCUAGAGAUAGAGCUUUCCCCUUCGGGGGACAAAGUGACAGGUGGUGCAUGGUUGUCGUCAGCUCGUGUCGUGAGAUGUUGGGUUAAGUCCCGCAACGAGCGCAACCCUUAAGCUUAGUUGCCAUCAUUAAGUUGGGCACUCUAAGUUGACUGCCGGUGACAAACCGGAGGAAGGUGGGGAUGACGUCAAAUCAUCAUGCCCCUUAUGAUUUGGGCUACACACGUGCUACAAUGGACAAUACAAAGGGCAGCGAAACCGCGAGGUCAAGCAAAUCCCAUAAAGUUGUUCUCAGUUCGGAUUGUAGUCUGCAGCUCGACUACAUGAAGCUGGAAUCGCUAGUAAUCGUAGAUCAGCAUGCUACGGUGAAUACGUUCCCGGGUCU